CUAGAGUGACCGGGCCGUGGUGUUCGGGAAGCCGGUGACGGACCUUGGGGUCCCAGGCCGGAGCGGCCCUCGCCACUGUGAUCGGGGAGUUUCCGCCCCUUCCGCAGGCGCACGGUGCGCCUGCGGCGCCACUGACCGCGACCCGCGGCCGGGAAGGCGGGGCGGGCGCGUGCACCCGUAAGCCAGGAGACCGGCCACGGCAUCUCACGAAGU
This 213-nucleotide non-coding RNA is filed under the name Streptomyces sp. Lineage: Bacteria; Bacillati; Actinomycetota; Actinomycetes; Kitasatosporales; Streptomycetaceae. The record is from RNAcentral.